Molecule: non-coding RNA, 581 nt
Organism: Chiloscyllium plagiosum (whitespotted bambooshark)
Lineage: Eukaryota; Metazoa; Chordata; Chondrichthyes; Orectolobiformes; Hemiscylliidae
Source: RefSeq, a predicted model, not a curated record
CAAUAAUCCACGCAAAAUUGAUGAGUCCCGUUAGGUUUGGGAACUAAGACGAUCAGCAAACUCCACUCGCUCUGACUCAGUUCGAUGAAAUCUUCGUUGAGCAUGGCCUCCACUGCCUUCUGGACCUGUCUAGCUUUGUAAAGUUGUAUUUCCAUAAAAGCCAUUGAACAAAUGGAGCAGUGAGACUGAUUGAGUGGCUGUUUCCACAGGAUGGCAUAGACACAACCAGCCAAAUGCCCGCCAGGUUGGAAAUCCAUGGGAAUCUCCCAGCUCAGGUUGGAAUCCUGUAAACUGCACUUCUCAUCUUUCCUGAUUUGAACCAUGUUCCAACAGAAUUAAUUCAUUUUGACAUGAGCGCAGAAGGUUUUAAACCAAAACUGCACAGAAGCAUUGACCGAAUGCGAUCAGCCAUGCACGGUGGAAGACUCCAGCAGUACACCAGAGCUUCAAGAGAGUCAAAGGACAAAGGUUAGUAUAGUGGUGAUCACUGAGGAGAAAGUGCUGGUGAAGCUGAAAAGUCUGGAAAUAGUUAAAUCGCUCUGGACUGAAUCCCAGUGUUUUGAAGGAUAUAGCUGAGGAGA